GUGGACUUGAGCUCUGGCUCCACUUUUCUCUGUGUGACUGUGAGCAAGUCAUUUGAACCACUGUUUAAGCCUCCGUUUCCUACUCUGCGAAGUGGGAGUUUCCAUCUCAGACUGCCUUGGAGGAUCACAGGGUGAUAUCCUGUAAACAGGGUAUACCUGGUACCCAGGGCUACUCAGCAAGGCGAACUUCAACAUCACGUGGGUCUUGCACAACCCUUGUCAAAUAAUGGCCCAGCACGGGGGGACACAGGGGCCCAUGCUUCUCUUCCAGGUGGGGUCAAAGCUCUCUGAGUCCUUGGUGAUCUCAUCUUUCCCUGCUUUUCACCCCCUGGAUUUGUACUCUUUCCUCCUCCCAGGGCUGGCCUUGUGAGAGUCCCAGAUGCAGGAGGCGGUAGAAGUGACUCUUCCCAGGCAGAAUCUCAUUAGAGGAUUCCACAUUUCCUGAAGCCCUGCCCAUCAGAGCCAGCCUGUUACCAAUUACGGUACCUUCCGGUACUUAAGUGAGGGCAAAUAGAAAGAAUGGGAGCCGCUGAGACUGCUGGGUCUCAUGGCUUGGAAGGUGUGAACCUUGUUGCUCACAGUAAACGUUUUGGGGAUGAGCUUCUCACCACACUCUCGCCUAGCACCCUCUCUUCAGGAGGCUCGUCACUCUCUCGAAGGCAGCAUGUAGCAUGAAGGUAGGAGUCCUCCAUUAUGCUUGAAAAGCCAACACCCUGUGCCUGUUUCUUAUCUGUGAAAUAAGGGAGUUAGAACCUGGGACCUCUGGGAUUAGUGUGCUACUACGUUACUGAACUUGAAUGCUUGUAGGAGAAAAAAAUUGAAUCAUCAAGAUGGAGAGUACGCAACUCGGGGUGAUGGUGACCAAUCAAAGCUGGUUGGUUUUUGAAAUUACUUCCUGGGAAUGAACCAUUAGCAAGAGAUGUGGCUCUGUGGGCCUCUAAGAAGGAGAGGGCUGAGAAGUGACUCCUUUCUCAUAAUUCAUUUUCAUUCCAGAGAUGUUCUGGAUUGGGUGUAGUUGCAUCUUUCCAAAUGGCACUCAGCCUGGGCUUCUCAUUAGAGUUUUCUGGGGAGCUUUUGAAAAAUUUUGAUGCCCGGGUCACACCUCAGAAUCAUUAUGAAGGAAUUUCUGGGAGGGGUGUGAGACAUCCAUACUUCGUAAAAAUUGCCCUCGUGAUGCCAAUGUGUGGGUGAGGUGGAGAAGCAGAGCUCUAGACCAGCCCAUCUCCAACUUCCAUGGGCGCAGGAGUCACUGUGGAAUCUCGUGAAAGUAAAGAUUUUGACUCAGGCUGUAGUGGGGCAUGUCUAUGGGUUCUUCUAUGGGAAGCAUCCCAGACCACACUGCAGAGGCUUGGAUGGGGGGCUCAGCCACCUGGCUUCGCUGUCAGAACCUACAAGACCAUAGGACCCUGAGGCUGCAGAUAGCCAUCUGGGAAACUUCUCUGCCAACCCUCACCAGCAGAAUGGGCCUGGGAAGUGUGGGCGCAUUGGCUAGAGAAGGAGGAACCCUUACGUGCUUGUUCAACAGCUCAUUGGUGGAGAGAGCGUUGGUUAUGGAAAGGAUUUUUAAAAAUCCUGACUUGAAUGUUCUAUCUUGGGGGUAGGGGACAUUUCUUAAUUGGACAGCAUCUGGAGCUCUUCAUUAUGCUCUGGGAAUUACCCACUCUGACCAUUUUCUCCAGGCCACUGUCAUUCUUGGAGCCUAAAGGUGGCCAGAUAGUAUCUUUGCCCCUAUGACUGCUGAAGGAAGGAUUUUUGACUUUAGCUGGGACAAUUGGAUGCUUUUGCCUAACAUUUUGACUCGAAUGAUCAAUCAUCCAAAGGUGCGUGGACAGUUAGAGAUGAUUCAGGCAGCAGUGAGUAUGUCUAGGCCCAGUAAUGGUGGUGACACCAGUGGUGACCUGUGUCCAGCAGUGGUGGAAAUCACUAUUAGGAGACUGUCUUGGUUUGACUGGGCCAGGAUUCUGGACAUCAGGACAUGAUUGGUUUCAGGUGUUUCAGGAUUUUUGUGGGCUACUCAAUACCCUUCCAAUGGAAGUACUUUGUGCUUACAGUCUUGAUUUGUGCUGUGUGAAGUCAAGAAUUUGACGGGCACACGGGGCUGUCAUCACAUAAAUAACUCAUGCAGAAAGCCUAGAGUUCCACACCCCACACAGGAAACAACCAAUCAAUGUGAGCUGUGUUCAUGACCAUGAAGAAGAGGAGGAGGAGAAAGAGGAAGUGGGGACAGAGAGAAAUGAUAGGAGGAAGAGGAG
Molecule: long non-coding RNA, 2252 nt
Filed under: Marmota monax (woodchuck)
Lineage: Eukaryota; Metazoa; Chordata; Mammalia; Rodentia; Sciuridae
Source: RNAcentral